UACGUAGGGUGCAAGCGUUUAAUCGGAAUUACUGGGCGUAAAGCGUGCGCAGGCGGUGAUGUAAGACAGAUGUGAAAUCCCCGGGCUCAACCUGGGAACUGCAUUUGUGACUGCAUCGCUGGAGUGCGGCAGAGGGGGAUGGAAUUCCGCGUGUAGCAGUGAAAUGCGUAGAUAUGCGGAGGAACACCGAUGGCGAAGGCAAUCCCCUGGGCCUGCACUGACGCUCAUGCACGAAAGCGUGGGGAGCAAACAGGA
Molecule: ribosomal RNA, 255 nt
Filed under: uncultured bacterium
Lineage: Bacteria
Description: partial 16S ribosomal RNA
Rfam family: Bacterial small subunit ribosomal RNA
Source: RNAcentral